GACGAAACUGGUUUACCUGAAGCCCAGGGAGAACAUGCAAACUCCACACUCAGAGGGUGGAGGUGGGAAUUGAACCACCAACUCUGGAGGUACGGGGCAAACGUCCUAACCACUAAGACAACAGUGUGACUAAAUUUCAGUAUGACUCCUACUUAAUAAUUAACAGACCUUACAUUUUGGUUUUUGUUUUGUUUGUUUUUUUUGUAGAAAGAAUGGGUCACAGCCUCUUGAUUGUUUCCUCAAACUUCCAGGAUUAGAUUCGUGAUUUCUUCAUUUAUUCAUCAUCAGGAAGCACUUCAUCCUGGUCAGCACUGUGGUGGAUCCGGAGACUGUCCUGGGAACAGUGAGCAGGAAUACCCUCUGGAUGGGACACUAGUCCGUUGCUGGGCAACAUGCACACAUACAUUCACGCUUAGAGGCAAUUUAGCAUAGUAGCCAAAGCCUCCUCGGCGCGGCCAGCGUGGAUCGAUGUUCAUUGAUCGUCCCUGACGAGCUGCUCCACUUUCCAGCCAAUGUCCGCCCGCCUGCCGCUGGGGAAGGAGCCCGAAACGGAGGGGAAAAUUUUCUGC
Ictalurus punctatus (channel catfish) is the source of this 569-nucleotide long non-coding RNA. NCBI's taxonomy places the organism in Eukaryota, Metazoa, Chordata, Actinopteri, Siluriformes, Ictaluridae. The record is from Ensembl.